AAAGGAAGAGAGCAAGCACGGAACCACAUAGAACCAGGGAUGGAGGCGGAGCAGCGCAGAGGGAUGGAAGCAGUGCUGUGCUCAGCAUCCGGGAGGCUUGUGAAGAUGCAGGGAAAGCUGCAGGAGGGGACAGGAGUCAACUGGAAAAGCUCACCUUGGCCAAAGCUGAGCAGCCCAAGAAGGAAAAUAACGCAGAAUUAAUUAGAAACCAGAGUAUAAAGUCCCAUGAGUCCACGCUGGCACUAAUGAAUGAGUGGAUUGAUUAAUUAAUUCACAACCACAAAGACAAAUCUCUGCAAGUGAGUGCUGUGUGUAAUUUCCGCAGGGAUUCCACUCUUGAGGAAGAACGCAAGUCACAGACCGCACUCCUAUCGUGGGGAAGACAGAGGAAAGACAAGAAUAAGGGUUAUUUCUGGCAGCUUCCACUUUCUCCAGCCAGAGUUCAGCAUCCACUCUAGAAGAGGAAAAUGCACAGAAGCCGCCAGGAUCACACAGAGGCCACAUGCAAUUCUAAAUCACGACCGCGUCUGAUUUCUGAGCCUGCCGCUCAAGAUCUCCGGACCUCUGCUGGUUCUAGAUUUCCCUCCUUCCCAGCUGAGGCCAGCGAUGUUCUCUGUCCUCUGAAAGGGCAGGUGCAGGGCACCCACACCUUGCUGUCAUUUUUUCUACAUCAGCAAGAGCCUCGCCGUUGGAAGUCGAGGGGAAAGAUCUGAUUUGGUUACAGCUGGCUUGCUGGCCCUGUUUCCUGGUGAGGAAUAUCCAGGUUCGUUUGGUUUCGAAGGAGCAUGAACCCAGAGAAAAGCCCGACUGUGGGCAUUCAGAAGAGAUAAACCUUCUAUGACAGGAAAACCUAGUCUGAGCUCCCGGAAGAAACAAAGUCUUCCCCUGGAAGUCACUCUACCCUACUGCGGCCCCUACUCCCGACCCCCUCUUCCUUCCUCUUUUUCUUUCUUCAGCUCCAGUCUCCAUCUGCACCCUGUUAAAAGGGGGAGGGGGGAGAACAGAGCAAAACCAUCACCUUUCUCCACCUCUUAUGAGCUUGGGGGAAAUUCUUCUUUUUGAAAAGGUUCUAAUUCAUGAACGCCCUGCUCAGACCCCUUUCCGUAAGGGCCACAGGUCCAGGCUUCAGAGAUUUCCGGAGUCCGAGAGUGCUGGGAACUGGCAGCCUGGCUCCGGGUCAUGUGCACCCCAUGGCUUACCCUUGAGUUGAGUCAGCGGUCCUCAGACCACAGAAAGGUCAGGCCUAGCUGCCAAAGUGAAAGUGCUGAAUUAUACUGAAACUGUCAGGAAAAAAAAUAAAAUAAACC
Molecule: long non-coding RNA, 1307 nt
Organism: Meriones unguiculatus (Mongolian gerbil)
Lineage: Eukaryota; Metazoa; Chordata; Mammalia; Rodentia; Muridae
Exons: 3
Source: RefSeq, a predicted model, not a curated record